Non-coding RNA from Pelobates cultripes (western spadefoot toad), 265 nucleotides. NCBI's taxonomy places the organism in Eukaryota, Metazoa, Chordata, Amphibia, Anura, Pelobatidae. The record is from the annotation of a GenBank genome assembly.
CUGCAAUCUUGCAUUUUAAUAGUUGUUUUGACAACUGCCUCUGGUUUCAUAAGAAUGAAGACUACAAACUGCAAAUCAUCAAACCAGCCUUUUUUAUUAGCGGAUCUGAGCAUAAACCAAUGAUAUGAAGUUAAAUGAUUGUGGGAUAGGGACAAUAAAGUAGUUUAAUAAAAAUAGUCUUACAAUAAUUAAUACUUUGCUAAAGAGGCACAUCACAGAAAUUGACCUAUUUUAGUUUGGUUUCUUAAUGCAUUUUUUAAAAAAA